AUUGAACGCUGGCGGCAGGCCUAACACAUGCAAGUCGAACGAGUGGCGGACGGGUGAGUAAUGUAUGGGAACCUGCCCGAUGGAGGGGGAUAACUACUGGAAACGGUAGCUCAUACCGCAUACCAUCAUAUGGGGCCAGGUGGGAUUAGCUAGUGGGUGGGGUAAAGGCUCACCUAGGCGACGAUCCCGAGCUGGUCUGAGAGGAUGACCAGCCACACUGGAACUGAGACACGGCCCAGACUCCUACGGGAGGCAGCAGUGGGGAAUAUUGCACAAUGGGCGCAAGCCUGAUCCAGCCAUGCCGCGUGUGUGAAGAAGGCCUUCGGGUUGUAAAGCACUGUCAGCGGGGAGGCGUUACCCGAAGAAGAAGCACCGGCUAACUCCGUGCCAGCAGCCGCGGUAAUUC
RNAcentral lists this ribosomal RNA (406 nucleotides) under uncultured bacterium. Its description in RNAcentral is "partial 16S ribosomal RNA". It matches the Rfam family "Bacterial small subunit ribosomal RNA", at positions 29 to 526 of the family's 1533-position model. The record is from RNAcentral.